This 1707-nucleotide ribosomal RNA is filed under the name Triticum aestivum (bread wheat). RNAcentral describes it as "partial small subunit ribosomal RNA". Lineage: Eukaryota; Viridiplantae; Streptophyta; Magnoliopsida; Poales; Poaceae. The record is from RNAcentral.
AUGGAGUUGGCUGGGUCUCUUUUGUUGAGACUUAUAAAUCAGCCGCCGGAGUUAGGACCUUUUUGCUUGCAAAGUGAUGGUGUUCCAUAUUUGGUACAUUAUCAUGUUUUGCAGGUGUCAAAGUGCACAGAGAUGACGCAUAAAGAUAGGAAAGACUAUUAUCUUAAGGAUCUAUUUUUUCAACAAUAUGAAGAUAAAAGUAUGGAUCCAUCACGUUUGAGCGACAUAACAGAUAAUUUCUCCAAGAAGGCAGAGAUUGGUAGUGGUGGAUUCGGAGUGGUUUACAAGGGAGUGCUUCGAGAUGGUUUUGUUGCUGUCAAGAAAUUCAAAGAGGCAAUUGACGACAAAGCAUUUGUGGAUGAGGUCAACUGUCUCACAAAGAUUGAGCACCCUAAUAUAGUAAAAUAUAUUGGUUAUUGUGCUGGAUCAGAAAAACACAUUGCAAUGAAUGAGGGGAAGACCAUUUUAGCAGAAUCGCCAUAUCAGUUAAUUUGCUUCGAGUAUCUUCGCAAAGGAAGCCUUGACAUGCACCUUAAUGACAAACCAUGUGGACUUCCAUGGCAAGUGUGCUACAAAAUCAUCCAAGGAAUUUGUCUAGGUUUGCACCAUCUUCAUGAGCACAGAAUCAUUCAUAGAGAUAUCAAAGCAGGCAAUAUUCUACUUGAUGAUCACAUGACUCCGAAAAUUGCGGACUUUGGUUUGUCAAGGUUCUUAGGGGAUGCUAAAAGCAGAAUUAACACUCGCCAAGAUGGAACACUGGGAUACAUGGCACCUGAAAGUAUGUUCAAUGGAGUAUUUACUUUCAAGUCCGAUAUAUACAGUCUGGGCAUGAUAAUCAGAAAGAUUGUGACUGGUAACAGUGCAAUAUCAAAGGAAGAGACCUUAUACGUGUGGGGUCAUAGGUCAAACCUAGAUGCAUCACAGAGGCCCACUCCGUUGGAUCAAGUAGAAGAAUGCAUCGAUAUAUCAAUAAGCUGCAUAGACAUAGCUAAAGCAGCAGAGAACAGACCUGAUAUGCGGGAUAUCCUCCGUAGGCUUGGUAUAAUAGGAACUAGUGGCUGCUCUGCCGCAGGUGGCAUAAACACUUCUCCGGCACCGUCAUCAUCGACGAGAAAGGGGCCGAAGGUCGAAACCGAGCCAUCAAUGGCAGCAUCAGCUAAGAGGCCAGGAGAGGCAAGCCCUGAAAAGUUGGAGGUAACAAUUGACGCCAGGCCCAAGAUGGUUCCAUCGAGAUCGUUGCAAAUUGCGAAUAACCGACCAAGGUUCUGGAGAUGGCUUGCCAUCACAGAUUCUAGGUUUGGCGAGUGUGUGGAGCUCUUGAGUGUAUACUUCCUACAAGUUACCGGAGAGAUCCCACCAAGGGAGCUAUCUGCCGGCACAUCCUACGAUGUUCACCUCGUAUACAAGUUGGCGACUAAAACCAUUGGCCUAAGAGGUUCCAUACAGACAUCAUCAAUGAGGCUCCAUGGGAAGCAGGUCAUUACCACCAACAAGGUUUGCCUCGAACCCAAAGCGCACGGAAUGGCGGAUGAUGUGAUGUGCCCUAUCAAGAGGGGUGAUGGUUGGUUGGAGCUCAGGCUGGCAGAGUUUGUAAACGAUGACAAUAUGCUUACAGAGGAGGGGGUGAUCGUGGUUCUCCGCGAGGAGGACACCACUAUUCAGAAGAGCGGCCUCAUCGUGGCGGGCAUGGAGUUCAGAAGCAAAUAG